CCCCUUGAUCUCCAAAAUAUGUCAUGUAAAAAGAUGAUACAAUACGUAUAUAUAGAAUAAGGGUAAGCUAAGUUAGUGUUGGAGUCGAUUUAGAUUGAAACGCCCAGGGGUAGAUGGACCAUGCAUCACCCCCUCUAUUCCAUAGGAAUAGAGCAUGCAACGCAUACUAAUAGCAUGAUGCUACUAGAAUUUGUCCUUUGAAUUUUGCUUAAGUGUUGGUCCUUCCUCCUUUCAUACCUUGUCUUGUGGUGUCUUUCCAAUAAUUUUACAGCAUCUAUAUCAUCCAUAUGUCAUUAUGUUAAGCUCAUAAAGGAUCCUAAAAUAAAAAACCACACGAAUUAGAGGUACAAACACAAAACAUCCAUCACAAUAAAUAAAAAACAAGAGCAUAGACUAGGUUGAUUCCCAUGGUCUUUCACUUUAAGUUUCAAAUUUUCCCGUUUAAACUUUGUACAGUCUUAAAACUUUGUUCCAUAAACAAUAACAUAUUUAAAACCCUUUGGAACACAUAGAACACAAUAUAAUACAACAAGAUAGACUAGGCAAGCAACUAGCUCAAGCUAGAAAUACUAGCUUUCUCUAUUGAAUUCAAAUUGACUCUUUAAAGUACCAACUUGUUAGAAAACCCUUGUAACCAUUAUAAACACAUGCUUAAACACUUUGAUACAGAUUUAUCUCAUUAUCUACCAAUAUAAUAUAUAAUCAUCCUCAAAACAAGGCUAAAAUGACUAGAAUAGUGAUGCUAGAAUGCAUAAAUACACCCAACAUCAAAAGGCAAACCACCAAGGUUACCAUGUAAAUCAUUUCAUGGCCAACAAGGCAUUUACAAAACCAUUUAUCAUCUAUUCAUAUUCAAUAAGCCAAUGCCUUAGUUCAACAACACAUUCCAAUUUAAUUUAUGGUCAUCAAGACCCUUACAAAAUCAUUCAUCCUUUAUUAGAAUCCUUACACCAAUCAUUAGUACAAAACCCAAUUCAUUAUGUGACUAGUUUGUUCUCUUAGACAUUUUCACAAACACAUUGAGGGUAUACCUUUACCAAGACCAAAACAAAGUGAAAACCAUCCAUUUUAGGGUUAGUCAUGACCCAAUUAUUAAACCAUAAUUACCAAGCACUCAUAUAUGAAAAACCAUUAUUAAAACAUGUAUAAACACAAUUAAAACCAAGAGUAAACAAUACUCAACAAUAUGCAACAAAACCCUCAACACUGGUUUUCAAAACCACCAUUAAUGAACCAUAAUAAAUGUUUAAAACACAUGAUAUUUGAGAACUAACAAUGAAGGAAGAGUCACAUGUCUUAUUCACGAAGAUUCAUAAAAGAAACUUGACUCUUGAGCCUCCAUAUAAACACCUUUCAAGAACCCUAGCCCCAAUUUCCAAGAGAGAUUUUAGAGAGUGUUUUUAGAAUGUUUAAUCUUUCAAAAGCAUGUUAUGAGAGACCACAACAUGUUAUAAGACAUGGGGAUUUAAGGGUUUUUGGUUGGUAAAAUAUCCGAACUACCCUCAUCUUAAAAAUUGAAAACAUAGUCGCAAGAAGGUACGACUACCCCCCAAUUUUUACCCCAACAUAUGAGUGGUACCCAUCACUUGUACCCUAGACAUCAACUUAGACUCCAGAACUGUCCAACAUACGAGUUCAUGACCUAAAUCAUACAUAAUUAUAUAUGUGGCAUCUUAGAACUGUACCUUAGACAGAAUAGAAUCAUCUAGGCUAGACAUAGGACAUCAUAUGGUUAUGUACCAUACUACUAGUAUCCUAACAUAUGACUAGUAAGAUACCUAAUCCUAUGUUGGACAAAAUACAACUAAUUCACACUGAUUUUUCAUCCUAAAAGAGGACCACCAACUGUACCACAUCAUACAACUAGAAUGCACAAGUCAUAUGAUGUCCAGAAUGCUCAAUUUAUGAAAUUUUAUAAGGGUACAAAGCCAAGGUGUUUCACUGAUAAUCAUCCCUGGAAUAAAUAAUCUUAUACUCGAAAGAGGCCUCUCUAGUAGGCCGUCUGAAUGGAAAAUCUCCUUGUGCCCUUCAAUUACCUAUGGGUCAUCCGUGACCCCUACCUCUCCCUUUAGUCUAGGCUUCAUCUUUGGGUAUUAACUCAUCAUCCCUAGACUCUCAAGAUCUAGUCCUCACUAUCUUCACAAAAAAAGGUGAAAUAUAACUUAGAACAUUGGGUAAGAAUAACAUACACGACCAAGAAUCAAAGUAGAGAAGUUUUUCCUAAAGAUAUCUUAGAGCCUCUCGAUAAUAGAUACAAAUAUCUAAUAGACAUCCUACUCUGACACUUAUGACACUAGUUACUCUUACACUUAUGAGGCCGGUGAACCUGGCCUGUUACCAAUCUAUCAUGACCCAGAAAUAGGACAUGAUGUCACUUAUCAUGACUCAACCUAAUAAGUAAGAUAAUCACCCAAACUAAUAAAGAAAAAUAAAAUAGACAAUAGCAUAAACCAGGUGAGAAUUCUAAAAUAAAGCCUAGCCAAUAUGAAUAAAAUUAAAAUGGAAGUAUAAAAGAAAUAUCAUAAAACCCAGAAUCUGAUGUCAUAGUGUAAGAGCAUCUAAGUACAAAUCUAAAAACUAAAAAGUACAACGUCUAUCAAAAUCCAAAUAAGGACAUAAGUAAAAUAAAAUGAUGUCUGGAAUCUUUCCUGAACAUUAGAAUGGUCCAGUACCUCAAAAGAGUACCAAUCGACAGCAUGAUCUCAACCUCUAUACGGAGUACUCAUGCUAUGAUCUACAUUAAAAGUGCACAGUAAUGGUGAGUAUGGUCCACUUAUACUUAGAGGGUAUCAUAAGCAGUCUGAGAAAAGUAGAAAAUAAGAUAAAUAAAAUAUACUAUAAGCACAUCACCUGCAAGAAGAAAAGUCCAAAAUGGUAGCUCACACCGCCUCCACUAAUAGUUCUAAUAUAUAAAUAGAAAUGAAAAACAACACAAACAUACAUAAAGAAUACGCUGAAGCUAAAUACAAAUCAAGAAAAUUAAAGAAUUCAUGAAAGAUGCAUAUGUAAAUGCAAUGCAAUGCAAUGUGGAUUGGAUGAAUAUUGAAAGUCAUCGCAUGACUAUUUGUAUACACCCAUAGAGCUCAUAGCUCCCAGGUAGGAGGACCCAUAAGUGGUAUGCAAUCCAUAUACUAUAUCUCAUAUCUCAAUCUCUACUCACCUCUACAGCUCGUAUUCACGGAGAGGGUUUGCAUAAAAGUAUCUUAUUUUCUUUCAAAAAUAGUAUUUCUCAAUAGUACAAGUAUCUAAUGAAUGUAUGUGUAUGGAAUGAAGACGUAAUGCUCAAAGUUAACUCAAUAUGUUGAUAUUCAGUCCAUCACACACACAGACACAUAAGUGAGCCCAAAAAUUGGUUCAAUAUGUCUACAAUUCAAGAUCAUCAACUCAAAUUAGUCACCAUUAGAAUAAUAUACAUGUAAGACAUUAUUAAUAUCAUAUCAACUCCUAACUCGAGUAUUUCUAUCAUGAUAAAGACAACCAAUGGCCAAAUAAGGUCUAUAUUAACAAAAUAAACCCUCGUACGAGCAUUACAUAUAGAUUAAAAGCAUUUAAAUGCACAAAAAUGGCCAGUGAUGUCAAGUAAAACUUCCACACGGGCAACAAACAAGAUCAAAUAUCACAAGUCAACAAUAAUAAAAUAUAAGCCCUGACAUAGGCAUAAAACAGUAAUAAUAAUCUCUAAUUAUAAACCUCAUACCCAUAGCAUGCUUUACUUAUUUAUUAAUUUCUUAGCUUAAUCUGAAAGAACUUAAGCCAUAACCUUCCUAGAAAUAACAAAAUCUGGAUUAAUAUACUUCAAUACAGAGCCUUCCCUUUAUCAACGACCUCAAAAUCAACUAUAACAUUCAAAUAUUUCAUCUACACAUUAAAAGAAGCUAAUGAUAUUCAUAUUAUCCAUAUUUAGGCUGGGUCCAAAAAGAAAUCAAAAAAUUAGUUUAAAAAAGUGGAAAAAUCAGAAUUUUAUUUUAAAAAAACACUCUCCAAGGUUGUUGAAGUCUACAGGAGAAUAUGUGAAAAUAAGUUUAAAAUGAGGUACAAAUUAAAGAUUUUUUUUUAAAACCUUUAUAGGUAAAAACUCCAAAUUUUCAUUUCAAACUCAUGAUUUAAAGUUAUUUUUGAUGAUAUAAUCGAUGAAAAUAAGAUUUUGGAGCUUACCUAAGCUCAAAUGGUGAGAAACCCUUAAGACUCACCCCAACCUAAAGAUUAAAUGUUUAAAAUAGAGGAAAUAUAUGAAAAUGGGUUUUUAUAUCAACCUAGAUUUGGCCAUUUAAGUGGUCAAAUGAUUGUUUAAGCAAUCAUCGCUAAAGCAAUGGAUGACCUUUAAAGUGGUUUGGCCUACGUGGCUAAUCCUGCUAAAGUGGUCCCCUCCUAUUAAAGCAGCAAUUACCAAAUCGAUCAAGUACCUGCUUUAGCUGUAGGAGACAAUGCAUGCAUGACAGCUAAAGCGGUGCUCUGCCGCUAUAACACUUGAAAUUUCUAAGCCAAGAUCCAAAUCAUUCAUUGAAUUCACAUAGAACCAAAUACGAUGAUUACUAUUUUUUCAUGAGUGUUAAGAUCAAUUCGCAUAGUAUAUGAAGAGUUUUUAUACGAAUUAAGAUCAUAAGAAACCUCAAUAUCAAAGUUAAGUAAAAAAAUUUCACACCAAUUGAGUUUUUGUAUAAGAUUUCACUAGGGUCAAAUUUAAAUGAUCAUUCUUUCUAAAAUAUGAAGAGUUUUUUUAUAUCAAGACUCACCAAAUUAAAGGUUCUUGAGUUUUCUUUCAAAUGCCACAACCAUUUGUUAAUCCAAGUCUAGAGUAAAAUGUUAUGAACAUUUUAGUGAGGCAAUAUCCUAGGUGCACGUUGAACAGUGCGAGGCAAAGAUGGUGAAGUGAAAUCAUUGGAAAGACUUUGCAUUGGCAUCUGUGGCGUAGACCACCCUGCCCAGGUGUCAAAAUACACUAUUUUCUUACUAACUAAGGGGCAAGCUUGAUCUUUGACCCUAUGUAAUUUUACAGUUCAUUUUUAAUCACCAAAGUUGUCCCAAAAUAAUGAGAAUCAUCUCAAACCCCUUAUCUCUCUUCUCUGCCAAAAUUUAAGACAAGAAAAGGAUUUUUCAAAUCUCAAAGCCCCAAAGCUCCCAAGUUCAAGAAUUUCUCCAAAAAUCAAGCUUUUCACCAAGGAAUUUUCUACUUUAAGGUAUGUGGACCUUUAGCAAGGAUAAUACUUUCGUCCUUGUUCCCAAACUCAAGUUUUUAAGUUUCAUAAAUGUGUACUCUUGCAUUAGGAUUUAACCCCAAUGAUUUUAAUUCAAAUUCUCAAGUUCCCUUAAUGUGUUGUCCUAUGUACUUGAUAAUAACUCCCAUGGUUUAAUUUCAUCCUUGUUUACAUAUUUUCAAACCCUUGUUAAAUAUUUAAUGAAAUAUUCAUGAAAUCCCUAUAAAUUGGUAUUGAACCUUUGGAGUUUGGAAGAGUUACAUGCCCUUAGUAUGAUUUCAAGCAUGAAUUAAAAACACUUUCUUUUCUUUGACAUGAUUUAGUCCAAAUUUCAAGAAAGUGCAUGACAUGAAUAUGAAUUUAUAAGGAAUUUCAUGUUCUUAAUAUGAUUUAGCAUGAACAAGCAUGAAAUUUCUAGUAUGUACAUGAUAUAAGCCUAGUUUAAAAAAAAUAAUAUUCUAACAUAAGUUAUGAGACUUGGGGGUAUUACCACCAAAUUUUCAUAAAUUACAUAAGAUGAUAUGAAUUUCAACACUUAGCAUGAAACCUCAUGAGUUAGCAUGAUUUGACCUCUUGUUCAUGGCACAGACAAGAAGAUGAUAAUUAAGACUAGUUUUCAAUUUACUUAAGGCUAGAAGCCAAAAUAGAAUCUUACUUAUAUGAACUAGUCUUAUUAUUACUUUCAUAGUGAGCAAUCAAUGCAGACUUUUUGGAGUAGUAUUGAUCACCGAGCAAACACAGGUUCAGUGUACCUAAGUCCUAGAACUACAAGCCACCAUAGGUUCACUUGGCCUUUUGAAUUUCUAUUUAUGGAUAUAUAGAAAUCGGGACCUUAUACCCUUGGAAAAGGUAUAUUGGGUCCUCUCAAUGAGCUGUAUACAUUGGAUUCCACUCAUUCAUGUGUUUAUAUCUUGGCAAGGUUCAUUAGGUCCUUUUGAUAGGGCGUAAACAUUAAACUCCACGUUAGCUUACGUGGUUCAUGUCAAUUAAAACAAUAUCUUAUAAAAAGAUAAUAUUUUAACUAAGUAUACAGUGGCUCACUGCACUAUGACUUUCAUUAUGCUUUCUAAAUUUCUUCAUGUUUAACAUGAGUCAUUAUCCUAUUUAUCAUGCCCAAGUCUUAUACAUAAUUUUAAGCUAGUUUAAUUGGUUCACUAAUAAGUACGCAUAUUUCCUUAUCAAGGCAGCUCUUACAAUGUUUUAGUCAUUCAUAUACAAAUUGUGAACCAUUUAUACUUAUCAACGUGUUUUAAAAUUUAUACAUGAUUUGUUACUUUUGUUUACUUAUGCAUCAUAUGUGCAUUCUCCCAUGCUUAGUACAUUUUAUUGUACUGGCCACAUAUACGUCUAUAUGGCUACAUUAUUUCAUAAUGUUGGUAUCAAUUCGAGCUCACAAAAUCAUAAUCAGGUAUAUCGUAGAUUUUAGCUAGCAGGUGAUGAGUUUUCUUCAUUAAAGAACUCAAGUCAGUUGUAGUCCUGGCCUUUUAUUUUGAUUUGUAUGUAUUAAUUACGAAUAGAUGGGGGUUAUGUCCCGACUACCUAUAGUUUGUAUUAGUAGAGGCAUCAUAGACAGUCAGUCAGAUUUGAUAUAUUUAGCUCCAACUUUUAUUUUGUAAAAUCCAAUGGUUUAAAUAUUUGUAAAUAGAAUUAUAUUGAACAAAUACAGCUAAUUAUAUUGCUUCUACUUAGUGUUUUCAGUUUUAUGUGUUUUAUUCAGGUGCUCAUAAAUUAUACCAGUACCAUGGAAUAUCUUGGGAUUACUUGUUGUUCUAAGAACCAUGUUGUGACUAGGGGAUAAUCUCGAAUUGUGACAAACUUGGUAUCAAAGCACAAAGUAAAAGUAUCCUAGGGUGUCUAUGAAGAUGUGUCUAGUAGAAUCUUGCGAAAUGGUAUGAAAAUGUCUAUACUUUUCUUCGAGAGGCUAUCAGGAAUUUUAUUCACACUCCAAAUCAUGAUGUGGAGUUAUUUUAUAUCAAAUAUAUGUAGACCCAAGAAUUUCUCUAUUUCCACUAACAAUGUCCUAUGUUUACGCAAACAGAAACAAACUCACUUAAAUCUCUAUCGAUAUAAUUUCUUUGAUAGAGCUUACCUACAACCAUGAGACUGCAUAAGGGUUUGAAAGGAGCCCACUAGUGCCUUUAAGUUUAAUAAUCCAAAAGAAUUCACUCUUUUCUAUGUAAUCGUUCAUCUGAGCCAUAAUAAGAUGUGAUCUUAGACUCAUUCCCAAAAUCUUAUGGUAGAAUAAACCCAGAUUUAGAAUUAUGAGCCUAGAAAUGUAAUAUCUAUAAAAUAGUUAGAAGAGUGGUAGAUUUAAAUAGUAUCUUAGGAGGUUACAAUGUCACAUAGAGUGUAGUGUGGUAAUAAGAAUUAGUAGUAAGAUCAUGGAAAAGGGAGGUGCUUAUAGACUGGAGUUAGAUAGAAGGCAUGCUUUAAGUUUAUUUUACUUUAUUAUGAAUUUUAUUUUAAUUUGUUAUGAAUAUUGAUGGACUACUAUUUCCUUAAUCCUUAUAUAGUAGUUAAAGGUUGGUAUAGUUUAUGAAAAUUUGAGUGGUUUUUCAUGAUGAAUGUUAGACUAUAUGUUUGAAUUAUGGUUGCUAAAUGAGAUAAAGAUAAUAACUAUGUGGCGAUGAUGGUGCUAGUUUUAUGGAAUGAAUCUAGUAGGUUGGCCUAGAAUAUGUAUGAAUCUACGUUGAUUAUGUUGUUAAUGAUUGUGGUUGUGCAAGUUUAAGGUUUAAGUGGUUACCAUAUAGAGUAGUUAAUUAUGGUUUAGUAUCUAAGUAGGGAGCCCCAACGCAGGUUUCAUAUCUUUUCAUGCAGUUUUUAGAGGGGCUUAAUAUCCAUGUGCAUAGAGGUACCUCGACCAUUAGAGUAGAAUGAUGUGGCUCAAUUUAGAGUUUAUUGAGAAUAUCAAUAAACUUAGAAUGUUGGCUACUAAUCUAAGGGGGAGAUGAUAGAGAGUAGAACUAGUGAGGUUUUGAAAUUCAAGUAGUAAGUUAGUGAGUUCUAAAGCAAAGUUAAGGAAAUACAUAGAUCUAUUUCUAUCUUAAGAUUUUCAGAGAUUACGACACUCUAAUUAUAUGUUAUAUGUUUGUUCUAUAACAAUACUUCUUACUCAUACACUUCAUGCAAAUUAUGUAUAUUCUUAGUUCCAUUAUUCCUAGCACAAGAAGUAAAAAUAUCACUCAAUAGUCCAAGCAAUGCCCUAUGAAUUCAUAAAUUCGAGUCCUAUAUCAUACAAAUCAUGACUCAUGCAUACCAUGAUUUCUCAGUAUGUUAAGCUCCCUGAACUCAUGAUACAUCCUUAAUGACUAGUGAAAUCACAUUAUGUCAUGUAUAUCCUUAGUUUGGACUACCCUAAUGAAUCCAUGCCUAUGAUACUCUAUUCCUCAAUCCACAGUUACAUGUCAAAGUUAUGUAUAGUAUUCUUUAUUACUUUAGGUCAUCAUAUUCUAGCCCUUCAGUGACCCCCCCUUAUGUUAACAUAGUGGUAUAAAAAUGAAUGAAUAUAUUAUACAAGAGUGAAUUCUUAAUUAGAGUUUGGAGUUAGUAGUUGAAGUGGAUAUAAACUUAAAAUUCAUGUAGUUGAGAUUGGGAUGUUUAUCAUAUGGAUAGUACUUUUUACCUCUCAGUUAGGCUUGAAUAGAGUAAUACCAUGUGACUAGACUUAUUCUUUAGUAGUAAAACAUCCUGGGUUUUGACUCUUAGAAAAUUUCCUAGAAUUUUCGUUCUCCGGACCUAAUACAACUCAUGGGUACGAGCCGUAUGCUGGGGUACGAGUGGUAUGGUACUUUCGUAUACUAAUCAAUAUUAAUUGGUAGGUACAACUUAGUGGUAUGAGUCAUAGAGCUUGGUACGAGUUGUACCAGUGACUCGUAUGGUGGACAGUGUUUGAUCCUCCUGGUAUUUCAUUCUGCCAGGGAUACGGGUCAUGGAUUGUAAGACCCCGGGAGUUUGAACUUUUUAAAUGAAAUCGUAUAUAUUAUUUUAGUGUAGAAUAUUUUAGCUCGAGUUGUAUCUCUUAGUAAUGACUUGAUAAGUAUGAUAUUAAAUAAUGGUUACUAAAUACUUUUUUUAGUCAUAUGAUAGUUAAAGGAGUACUAUGUCGGUUACUUCACUGGAGUAGUAUGUAAAAAAAUAUUUUUUUUAUGAAAUAUUAAAGACUAGUAUUCCUUUAUGCUAAUUCAUAUAAUAAAAAGUUUAGGAGUGAUUUGUAAGAGGGGCUACAGUAAUUACCCACAUCUAUUAAACAUUAGAUGUAUACUUCUUGAUAUAUCACCGCCUCUUCAUUUCCUUUCAAUUAACCAUUGUAGUGGUUCUUAUUAGCACUACUUGAAUCCCAUGAAUUUCUAAUACCAAGUAAAUUUGGUUAAUCUUUAUCUACUACACGAUACAAAAGUCCUUCUAUUAUUUUUUAUGGUUCAAAAUCAAGCGAAGACUUAGGGUGGAUUUAAUGCUUUUCAAAGAAACAAUCGGAUGAGAUCAACUUUAGUUAUAGCCAAGGUAAGUUAAGUUUAAGAUUAAGCAUGGUGAUACUUCUAUUUAUCACAUAGUAUUAAUGUUAAUUCUCCACCAUAGUAUAGCAUGGGUUAAACAUAAUUUUUGUGGAGAAACAUAUCAAUUAAAGGGUCUUGCGAGCUUGUCGCUUUCCUAGUGUCUGUUUGACCUGGGCAUGUUUUUCAACAGGUUGUAAUAGCUGUUGUACUUGCCAUUUAUAUAGAUAUGAUGCCUUAAAAUAAGGGAUUCUCAUACAUAAGUGUUACAAGGCAAGGCCUAAGGUAAGGUCCUUUUCUUAGUUCGGGUUGGGUUCUCGCUUGUUGUAAUAGAUUGCUAAUGAAAACACCUCCUUCCGUUUUUAGUUUUGAUAUGAGAUUUGCAGCAGUUUUUGAGUAAGGAAAUCAUUAAGACGGCCUACAAAAUAGAGAUUUUGGAUUAAAGUGAAAAGAGGAUUGACAUGUCAUGAUAUUAAGGCAAAACUCAAGGUAUGUAAAGCUAAAACCUCUUUUGCCUUUAAGGCACGGCCUGUAAUCGUUUGUCUUUCCUAAAAUAGCUGAGAUAGUCUACUUGAGAUAUGUUAAUAUAGUUUUCAAUUUCUAUAUGCCUAACACAUGACCAUAUAUCCUUUUUAUUUGAAAUUACGCAUACUCAUGCUUCUUGCGUCAAAUUGUUGAGGUCAAAAUAUUUGUACUACUCCCAUUAAGUCAAGUAUCUAUAGAGUUUAUUCAUCUUCAUUAGGAAUUCGUAGAAGUCACCUAGUAUAUCAUCAUAUGCUAUGCAUUAGAAUAAAUGGACAUACUAUAGUCGCACUAAUAUAUUAGAUCACAUAGCGAUAUAGUCAUAUGGUGAUAUAAAAUACAAGUGUUGUAAUAGUUUGAUACCAUUAAAGAAGUUAAUUGUAUAUGGAAAUCACUACUUGAAUAACUAGACAGUAUUUGUCGUAAUAUAUACUUGCAUAGGCAUAUGAAGAACUAUUUGAUAAAGGUUAAUGACGAGAGGGUAUCAUAGGUUUGGCUUGGCACACGCGCGACGUAAUUCUGUGCACAGAAUUGAGACCAAACCACUAUAGUGAUCCCAAAUGCGUGGCGUACCUGCCCUUGUGGAAUCAUUUGUAUUUGGAGUCUAUUGGACUAGUUCCCCUGACUCGAGCCAAUAUAUGGCACAUAUGGCCUGCGGGCAAACCCUUAUAGUGAGUCCCAAGGAGGGGCGUACCCUGUAUCGGACCGCGAUUACAGUUAUGCGUAUAACAUCAUAGUCAGGCGUAUCUGGGAAACACAUAUGGUACACUUGACAUAGAGUGCCCUUGGUAGGCCAUCAUAUGAUUAUUUGUAUCAAAAGUAGGCACAAAAUAUCACUUAGCCAAAUUGCUAGGACCUUAAUAACUAUGAUUUAUUCAUUAGCGGUUAUAUGAUAAGUUAAUAAGGUAAAUACAUAGGUAACAAUCUUAUAUAGUGUAUUUUUCACCCAUUUUUCAUAAGUUAUAGUUUCAUAUAAGAGGUUCUAGUGUUCAGUCAUCCGAAGUUACUCAUUCUACUGUUUGACUCAUUGAGCAUCCUUAUACAUUUACUUGUUAUUCUGUCUGCUUUACAUACUAAUACAUAUUUUAUAUGUACUGACGUCCCCACAUUUGGGGAUACUGUGUUCUGUAAAUACAGAAUCAGAUGUAUCGAUGAGCAGACUUCUAUACAAGGCACUCAUCCGUAUUCAGCAAAGCAAUCGGUUAGCUCCUCUCUUACCUGAAGUGAAUAAACAUCUAGUAGUUUUAAUUAUGUUUUUGGUACAAUUACUAUUUCUCUUAGAGGCUUCAUAGAUAGUGCAGAGUUGUCACACGUUGUCAUAGUUGCACAUAGCCCCUUAUCAUUGUUUGUAAAUUAUAACUCCUUCGCACUGUAUAUAUGUCAGCCACAUAGCUGACACUCAUAUGGUUCUUGUUCACCAUUCCUAGGCUAGAUAAUGUCAUGACAAAAGUGGUAUCAAAGCGAGGUUUAGUUAUCCCAGGGAGUCUAUGAAGCCGUGUUUAGUAGAACUUCACUUAUGAAUGUGUUGUGCACCACAUUUUUAAUGGAGGGGUUGCUAGGCCAUUAGGAAUUAUAUCCUUCCUUCAUGAUCUAGAUCGUGCAAUAGAGCUAAGUCAUAAGAAGUUACUCCUGAUCCACACUUUGCUUAAUGGUUAUACAUAGUCCAUCUAUUUUAUACAACCUUAACUCCGACCAAAAGGUCAAAUAUUAGUAUUGCCAAUAAGGGAGAUUUUUAGUUAAUAACCACAAAUUAUAUAGAAGCUCAAAUUCGAUCUUAAGAUAGCUCGGUAAUUAUGAUCUUCCAAAUCUACCGUUAUUUACAAAGUAAAGGCUUGUAAAAAAAAUUCAUCUGUCUUUUAUAAUUAUAGUUGCCUUUGUGUUACUCUCUUUUGUUCCUAAGCAGGACCUAAGGGGUGAUCAUUUAUAUGAUCACACAAUUAAAAAGGCCGUCCACUUACAGAGACGUUUAAUUUAGCUUUAUAGGAUAGCAUCACUAACUUUUAUGUAUGAAGGCCCUUCUAUCAACCCCUCUCAUACUUGUAGAAUCAAGUCCCAAGAGGGACUAUUAGCACCUCUUUGUUGUUAUGCUUAGAACCUUUAGGGUUUUGCAUGUUAGCAUGAAAUAGUUGGACUUGUUAUAAGUUGAAGUAGUUGAAGUAGCUUGGAUUGUUACCAUUUAUUAAGUAGUGACACCCUUAGUUGGCCGACGAGGCCUAUAUAAUUUAUCAGAUAUUAUACCAAUGGUGUACAUGGAUGAUUUACAUAGAACACAUGUAUUAAAUUACCCUGACUAGACAAUUACCUAUGUGAGUCCUUUUGGGUUAAUGAGAUCUAGAAUGGGUAUUUUAGUUGUUCUACAUGUUUAGAGUUGUGCCCCAUUGUGAUCGGUGGUGGUGUUAAAGGAGAUUAUAGUGUGAUCAAAGAUUAGAAUCAAUAAUAGUGUGGGAUUAGUCAUAAGCUAAGAUUUCUCGAAGUGCCCAUAGUAACUAAGGACAUAAUAUGAGUUAAUUAACUACAAGAAGACAAUUGUUACAUUUAAGAAAUAGUAAGAUGUUACCUGAAUUUCUGAGACUAAAUAUAUACGUGGGAUAAUGCUUUCAGUUAGAGUAGGAUUAUUAUAAAGGUUAGAUAAAUUUAUAGAAGGAUGAUUAGAUAGUCUUAGUGGUUCAGGGUGCCAUAUUAAGAGUGGUUUUGGUAUUAAUUUGAGUUCCAAUACCCUUUCUGUAUAAUAGAGGCAAUAGGCAGACCAACUAGAAGGCCCUCAUUAUAAAUAUAUUGAUCUAUUAUAGUACUCAAGAGCGUACCUGCACUGGAAGAUAGAAUAUAUCUAAAAAUGUAUAGAUUGUCAACACUAAAAUUAAGGAGGUGAUUAAAUGUAAAUAUUACUUGUUUACCUAGUUCUACAUGAUUGUAUUUAUUCACUAGAUGUCUCGGCUUCCUAACUACUUUUUAGAUAUUAAUAAAGUUUAUAGGAUUUGUUUUUCCUUAAAUGACGGGGUGGGCACAUUUCUGUAUUCCCCUAAUAUUUGUUCAACAUAAACUUAUCGAUCAUAGCUUGGCUAAGAAGGAAAAAGGUGGAAUUACCCUUACUUUUCAGGCUGUUAUAGCAAUCCAACAAGUUUGGUGGGACUUUAAUUACUAAGCUUAAGGUGGCUGAUCCUUAGAUAUUAUGGAGAUAUCACGGGGUGGCUACAUAAGUAUGUCUUAUACAAGAAUUUUCCCCCAGCAAUGUAUUCGACAUCCCGCUUGUUCAUCAAUUUGUUAGUUAAAUCCAUAUGAGCUUAAUGUAGAAUUUGAUAGCAAUAGAGGUGGAACAGUUUCAAGUUGCCACCCUAGUAAGAGGCUUACAAAGUAUACCCAAUUCUUAUGUCAAAAUAUUUACAAGGGUAUAUUUUUUAGGAGUUGAAAGAAGGAAAAACUUGGUUACAUAAAUCCCAAGGAAAAGAGAUGAACACAAUUAGACGUAUCCCUGGUAUCAUUGAAACUAACGGGAGUAUUAUCGCAAUCAAGCUAUGAUUAGAUAACUCCAUGAAAUGUCCUAGUUUACAUAGGAGAUAGGUGUCAAUAAGAUUAAGUUGUCUCAAAUUCAUAUAAGUAUGUUGUUAUAGCUACACUUAUUACGAGAUUAUAUGUGUUACAUGUAUGAUGGUUUAAUUGUUGACAUACUAAUUUACAAGCUUCUUAGUUUACUUAUUAUGUGCUCAUUCGGGGUUAAUUAAUUCCACAUUUUUUAUAAUAUAGAUUCUUGUUUAUAGGUUAUAUACUAGAUAAACUGGUGUUUACCUAUUACAUAUUUUAUAUAGAACAUGCUUCUGUGUUGUAUGUUUCAUAAAGUACUAAUGUAAACUAUAUAUGUUUCCUAGAAUAUUUGAUCACAUGUUACAUGCUUACACAUUAGUGGAUAUGUGCUCAAAGGUUAAAAAGUUCCUUGUUCAUGUGUUAUAGACAUUAUAUAUCAUUUGAUAGCAGUAAUUAAUUGAAGGGGUGUUUGGAUUAACUUAUUUUUGGCUUUUAAACAAUUUGUUUUGGGGGGUUUUAGUAGUGUUCGGCAAAACUAAAGAGUGUUUUUUUAAACACUCACUUUUAGAUCCAAAAAAAAAGGAAGCACAAAAAUAGGCAAAAAGCCGAAAGUAAGGUUGCACCUACCUAUGACUUUUAGCUUUUGGCUUAUAAGCUACUUUUUAAAAGUUCAUCCAAAAAAAAAAAAAACAAAGCGCCCCCUCCCCUAAAGGAAACGAAAAAUUCUGUAAAAUUGUUGUUAACAUUAACUUAAUCCAAAGUAUUUACUUGUGCGUGUCUCUCACAAAAUAUAUAAUUGAUAGGUGCAACAUGCUCUGUAGCAAAUUGUUUAAGUAUAUAUGUUUCAUAAGUUUGUAUAGUUAAAAUGUACUUGUUCACACGAUAUAUGUUUAAAUUUUUCUAUAGAUUGUGGGUGUAUUUGUUCAAAAAUUAUAUUCCAUAUGCUUAUAUGUCAUAAUCAAGUAAUUUACAUGCUAUGUGUUUUCAUAAUGUUAAAGAUUUAAGCAUCAAGUAUUUUCAUAAUUUAUUUGUUUUUAUAAUUUUAUGAUAAAUGUAACUAUAACCCAUUUGUCUACAUGCUAUACGUAUCACAGAUUAUUAUUUAUUGUUUAUGGGCUUGACGGAUUAUCAAAAUAUCUCCCUAUUCAUGGUAUAGUUAUUUAAGUAUUAUUAUGUUUUACAAAUUAUGUGGUUAGAAAUGUCAAGGGUCUAUUUGUUCAUAUGAUAUACGUGUAUUUACUUAUAGGUAUAUAUUUAGUUAUUUGACUGUUAUAACAAAAAGAUUCAUUUGUUGUGGUUAGAUUACAUGUUAUGUACCUUCACAAUUUUAAAGCUAAUACAUUAGGUGCUCUUACUAUUUAUCCACUAAUAUAUUGCAAAUAACUAACUUAUAUGCUUAUGUUCUGUUUGGAAAGCCAUGUAUUAUGUAUAUUAAGAUUGUAGCUGCCUAUAGAUUAAAUAACAGACUUCGUAUUAUAGCUCAUUUGCUUGCAUAUUCAUUUUUGUCCAUAUGUCCACAUGCUAUUUAUGGUUUAUAUAUGUUCAUAUAUCAUAGAUGUUCACAAUUUACUUGUAUAUCAAUUAUAAUCCCAUAUUUUAUUGGUUCAUAAGUUACACUUCUGCUAAAAUUGGCGUGUUUAUGAGUGAAAGUCCUUUCUGGGCAUUGCAUUCUCACAUGGGUACUUGCCCUUGUGUUAAUCUACCUACAUGUUACAAUAUUUAUACGACUUGAUUGAUUAGAUCGGUAUUGCCUUAGAAAAGUAUCACAUAAUUCCGCAGGAAGGUUAAACUAAGCUCUAUGUAUAUAGCUCCUAUAUUAGCUUAUAGAGAUCAUCCAGGAGGCUGGAGUGGGAUGUACCUUCAGAUAGAAUCAUUAUAAACUCGACACUCCAUGAGUUCAUACCACCAUAAUAUUCAAAUGAUGUGAUUUAUGCCUAUGUGAGUUGCUUCAAUGCAAGGACGCAAGGUGGGAUACUUCACUCAUUUUUAUCUUCCUGUGAAGUGCAGGGUCAAAAGAGCCCCAUUUAUUAUUUGUUUAUGUACUGUAGUUAAGGUGGCACCCUAUGAGGUUUGUCUGCAUGUUUUUGGUCAGUUGGUGGUGCAUGAGAAGUUUUGGAAUCGGCCUAUUUACAAAGUAAACUCUUGUCAAAAUUUUUGGAGAAUAUGGAAGUUAAUCAAAUUUUGGGACCCUAAGAAUGUGAGGAGUAAAUUCAAAAUACAAGAACUAACAUUGAUUUUAGAAUAGAAACAACUCAUCACCCAACAUUCGAGGACGAAUGUUCCCAAGGGAGGGAUAAUGUAAGACCCCAUGAGUUUGAACUUUUUAAAUGAAAUCGUAUAUAUUAUUUUGGUGUAAAAUAUUUUAACUCGAGUUGUAUCUCUUAGUAAUGACUUGAUAAGUAUGAUAUUAAAUAAUGGUUACUAAAUAUUUUUUUUAGUCAUAUGAUAGUUAAAGGAGUACUAUGUCGGUUACUUCACUGGAGUAGUAUGUAAAAAAAUAUUUUUUUUUUAUGAAAUAUUAAAUACAAGUAUUCCUUUAUGUUUAUUCAUAUAAUAAGAAGGUUAAGAGUAAUCAGGAAGAGGGGCUACAGUACUUACCCACAUCUAUUAAACAUUAGAUGUAUACUUCUUGAUAUAUCACCGCCUCUUCAUUUCCUUUCAAUUAACCAUUGUAAUGGUUCUUAUAAGCUCUACUGGAAUCCCAUGGAUUUCUAAGACCAAGUAAAUUUGGUUACUCUUUAUCUACUACACGAUACAAAAGUCCUUCUAUUAUUUUUUAUGGUUCAAAAUCAAGCGAUGACUUAGGGUGGAUUUAAUGCUUUUCAAAGAAACAAUCGGAUGAGAUCAAAUUUAGUGAUAGCCAAGGUAAGUUAAGUUUAAGAUUAAGCAUGGUAAUCCUUCUAUUUAUCACAUAGUAUUAAUGUUAAUUCUCCACCAUAGUAUAGCGCGGGUUAAACAUAAUUUUUGUGGAGAAACAUAACAAUUAAAUGGUCUUGCGAGCUUGUCGCUUUCCUAGUGUCUGUUUGACCUGGGCAUAUUUUUGAACAGGUUGUAAUAGCUGUUGUACUUGCCAUUUACAUAGAUAUCAUGCCUUAAAAUAAGGGAUUCUCAUACAUAAGCGUUACAAGGCAGGGCCUAGGGUAAGAUCCUUUUCUUAGUUCGAGUUGGGUUCUCGCUUGUUGUAAUAGAUUGCUAAUGAAAGCUCCUCCUUUUUUUUUUUUAGUUUUGAGACGAUAUUUGCAACAUUUUUUGAGUAAGGAAAUCAUUAAGAUGGACUACAAAAUAUGGAUUUUGGCUUAGAGUGAAAAGAGGAUUGGCAUGUCAUGAUAUUGAGGCAAAACUCAAGGUAUGUAAAGCUAAAACCUCCUUCACCUUUAAGGCACGACCUGUAAUCAUUUGUCCUUCCUAAAAUAGUCGAGAUAAUCUACUUGAUAUAUGUUAAUAUAGUUUUCAAUUUCUAUAUGCCUAACGCAUGACCGUAUAUCUUUUACAUUUGAAAUUACGCAUACUCAUGCUUCUUGCGUCAAAUUGUUGAGGUCAAAAUAUUUGUACUACUCCCAUCAAGUCAAGUAUCUAUAGAGUUUAUUAAUCUUCAUUAGGAAUUCUUAGAAGUCACCUAGUAUAUCGUUAUAUGCUAUGAAUUAGAAUAAAUGGCCAUACUAUAGUCGCACUAAUAUAUUAGAUCACAUAGCGAUAUAGUCAUAUGUUGAUAUAAAGUACAAAUGUUGUAAUAGUUCGAUAUCAUUAAAGAAGUUAAUUGUAUAUGAAAAGCACUACUUGAAUAACUAGGCAGUAUUUGCCGUAAUAUAUACUUGCAUAGGCAUACGAAGCACUAUUUGAUAAAGGUUAACGACGGGAGGGUAUCAUAGGUUUGGCUUGGCACACGCGCGACGUAAUUCUGUGCACAGAAUUGAGACCAAACCACUAUAGCGACCCCGAAUACGUGGUGUACCUGCCCUUGUGGCAUCAUUUGUAUUUGGAGUCUAUUAGACUAGUUUCCCUAACUCGAGCCAAUAUAUGGCACAUAUGGCCUGCAGGCAGACCCUUAUAGUGAGUCCCAAGGAGGGGCAUAUCCUGCAUUAGACCGCGAUUACAGUUAUGCAUAUAACAUCAUAGUCUGGCGUAUCUGGGCAACACAUAUGGUACAAUUGACAUAGAGUGCCCUUGGUAGGCUAUCAUAUGAUUAUUUGUAUCAAAAGUAGGCACAAGAUAUCACUUAGGCAAAUUGCUAGGACCUUAAUAACUAUGAUUUGUUCAUAAGCGGUUAUAUGAUAAGUUAAUAAGGUAAAUACAUAGGUAACAAUCUUAUAUAGUGUAUUUUUCACCCCUUUUUUCAUAAGUUAUAGUUUCAUAUAAGAGGUUCUAGUGUUCAGUCAUUCGAAGUUGCUCAUUCUACUAUUUGACUCAUUGAGCAUCCUAAUACGUUUACUUGUUAUUCUGUUUGCUUUACAUAAUAGUACAUAUUUUAUAUGUACUAACGUCCCCACGUUUGGGGGCACUGUGUUCUGUAAAUACAGGAUCAGAUGUAUCGAUGAGUAGACUUCUAUAGAAGGCACUUGUCUGUAUUCAGCAAAACAGUUGGUGAUCUCCUCUCUUACUUGGAGUGAAUAAACAUCUAGUACUUUUAAUUAUGUUUUUGGUACAAUUACAAUUUCUCGUAGAGGCUUCGUAGACUGUGUGUAGUUGUCAUACGUUGUCAUAGUUGUACAUAGCCCCUUAUCAUUGUUUGUAAAUUGUAACUCCUUCACACUGUAUAUAUAUCAGCCACAUAGCUGACACUCAUAUGGUUCUUGUUUGCCAUGCCUAGGCUAGCUAGGGGCGUUACAUGGAUACGGAUCAUAUGUUGUGGUUGUGACUUGGUUGGAUGAGUCGUAUACUGGACAAUGUUUGAUACAAGGGCUAAGGCUUGGAUACGAGUGGUGGAAAUUGAUUGUAUUGGGAGGGUACGACUUGUAUGAGGCAUUUGUAUCCUUGUGACAUGAUUUUUGUGCAACUUAAGUGAGGGUAUUCUGAACAUUUCCCUACUUAUCCUAACUAGGACUCAUGACUUCUAAUACACUUAGAAGGUUAUUUAACUUAUUAUUCUAUUCAUUGACACUUAGAAAACUAUUCUGAAACACUUCAUAAUUCUCUCAAGAGAUUUUGGGGCAAGAAGGCUAGGGUUUUAUCUUGAGGAUUGCUUUGGGGCUUGUUUGGGUGAUUUUUUUCAUUAGUUCUUCAAUAUAAGGCAUGAUUCUCUUCCUUCAUUGUAAUUUCAACUAAAGGCACAAUUUAUAUGAUUGAUUUCAUGGUCUUACUAUUUCAAGAUUAUGGCUUUUAACUAUUAUUUAGGGGUUUUGAUAUUAAAUGUUUGGUUAUGAUUUCUUAUGGUUUUAACUAUGCUUUUAUAUGUAUUAAUGGUGGAUUCGGACAAUUGUAUUAUAUGGUAAUGGUUUAAUGGUCUUUGGAAUUGGUUAUGAUUAAACUAUUCACCCGAUGUGUCUGAUAAAAUGCUUAUAUAGAUAUGUUCAUUGCAUUGACUUCUUUUAAUGGAACUAUUGCAUGCUUUAAACUUGGUAAAAGAAUCAUACAUGGUUUAAAUAGUUUGAAAAGGCUAAAGGCUAAAUGGUUAUGCUUGUGGGUAACAUGGGAGUCUCCAAGUAGUUUAAUAUAGUAUAUGGAAGGGCACUUGAAAGUCCUCUUAACCUAAAUGGUUUGGCUAUGGAUAUUACUUGCAAACAAGGGGUGGUAUGACGAUACCACUAAUAUUCGCCUUGGUUAAUAAAAUGGUAAAUGGAUUGGUUGGUUAUUUAGAAACAGUUUGAAUUGGGCAUUAAUGGCGGGAUGUGUAGCAAAGCCAUGGAAGGUGGCAGUCCUGGGGGGCCCAUAACUGGAAACUCAUAUUUGCCGAUAUGAUGAUUGGACUUAGUGGACCGUGUGUAUGAUGUCAUACUAUUGGGGAAUAUACUAGUCAUCCCAUGGGAUACUUCCCUGGUCGUGCAACAACACGCGGGGGAACUGAACACAUAUAGCCCGUGGGGGGUUUAAGACGGCCAAGCUACAUAGCCCAAGUAAAGGUUUUAAAUGUACGAUAAACACGGAUCCCCUUUCCCGGCAUUUAUAUAUAUAUAUGGUUGUGUAUAUUGGAUGGUUUUACUUGAUUUUAUAACUGAUAUUAUUUUAUCCUUAUCUUAAGAUUCAUGCUAGCAGUCACUCGCUAAUCCAUCUACUGGCUGCUAUAUACCUACGCUAUGUAGGAACCGAUCGUUCGACUUCUCUUACAUAGUGAUUGAUUCGGGAAAAACAUUUGGAUUGAAGUGGUGAGCUUCCAUCCUUUCAGAAGACAUCAUUUCAUGUUAUGAAUAUUGUUAGACGUUUUGACUUUAUUUUAGAUAUUGGUUUUGGCCAUGAUUUGGAUAUGUCCCAACCAGAUUUAUUUACUCUUAUGGAUAGAGGCUAUGUGAUACUUCUGGGGGUUGGAAUGGGUAGGAUAGAUAUUGAUGUCGACCUUGGCAUUAGAAUAGGUUGGUGGGCUGACACCACAUCAUAGAAUUUCUCACUGCUCCAUCGUAUUACAUUUUGAGAUUAAUUAAAUUAUGUUUUGGUAUUCUUUUGGUUAUGUCCUAGUUUAUGGCCUAUGGUUUGGUCGGUAUGGUUUGGUGGUUGAUUUGGUACGAGUGGACUUGGUUGGUUGGUCAUGGUUGUGAUCCUAUCCCAGAGUCUUCAUGAGAGCAUUUACGCUAUCUUGUUACAUGCUCUAAAUUCAUCCCAUCUAAGGCUGCAUAUAGGUGGUUGGGUUGUGUAAUAGGGGGCGGUCCCCAGUCUUGGUUGGACUUCGGAUGCCCAUUACGAUAAGGCUUGGGGGUCGGAUUGGGUCAAGUAGGCUUGAAUCGUGUGUCCUUAUGAUAACUUGAAGUUGCAGCCAAUGAAGUGAAGUGUUCCAUAAAAAAAAGCAUAUUUAAGAAGUGUUGUUAAGCAUGGAAGUUAGAAGUCGUAUUGUUUGAGGCAUAUUAGUCCUAUUCUUUCUCGCUGCACAAGAUUCCCAUGUUAUAUAGUUAAAGCUAGAGGGUGCCUCAUUAUCAAGUCUUUACCGCCCAUGCUCUGUGAGCCCGUUUCAGCAAACUAGAGUACUCAGACCAUGAUAAAAUCCCUUAUUUCAUGUAUCACUUAUUUUAAUGCCNNNNNNNNNNNNNNNNNNNNNNNNNNNNNNNNNNNNNNNNNNNNNNNNNNNNNNNNNNNNNNNNUCUCAAUGAUUCUAAAAAAUUUCAUCUCAAUACAUAUAACUUUGCAGUUCUAUAUGCACACCCUUCCAUGUAUGCCUCAAUUGAGAGCUAAACACUCAAUAUGAAUUAGUCCAUAUAGCUAGCAAUUUCGUUUAAAGAAUCAGAUAGAUAGUUACAGUAAUUUUCGCUUCUUUCAUCUAGUCUAACUCUCCUAAGUUUCAUAUCGAUGCCUAUUCCAUCUGAUUCUCUAUGUGCAUUCAUGCUAUGUAUAAAUUCAAUUGAAUCUUUGCUUAGUCUAAAUUAUCUCAUCUAUGAUAGAUAUUCAAAUUCAUAAAUGAGUUCCAAAUUAGUGGUUCCUAUUGUCAUGCCCAUUUUUCUCACGAAAAGAUAGAUUCGACGUGACAACUCUUUUUGGGAUAUAUUACGGAAUAAAGAGUCACCACCUAAUGAAUUAAGGUACGAUAGGACACCAUUCUAGGCUAACUACGAACCUAUUUUAUUGUUUAGUCUAGUUCACCAGAAAUUUGAGUAAGGGUUCAAAUUACCUCGAAAGGAAGGUGUUAGGCACCUUUUAAGGUCUACAAAUGUGAUUCCCGACCGAAUUCGUACUUUACAUGGAGAUUCUAUGUGAUAAGCAAAGGUCACAUAUUUUUAUAAACUCAAUAUUAGCUAAGUGAUAAAAUAAUGAAUAAACAAGACAUAAUUAUUUAAUUAUUUCAAAUUAUCAGUUACCUAGGUGAUGCUAGAACAACACAAGAAAUAAUGUGAAUCGGAUAAUCGAGAAGAUAGAAAUGACACAAAUUUAUAACAUAAUAUCUAUAUUAAAUUAAAGAACCUAAACUACCCCAACCAAAUAAACAUAUACAGUAAAAAGAGAGAAAAUCAAAUUUGCGAAAUUCGAUAAAGAAUUUAUUUUAUUUUAUUCGGAUUUUAUUUUAUUUUAUUCGGAUCAACACCUAAGUUAUUAAUCACUACUUUGCCCAUUACCCAGCAACUGGGUUAUUAAUGAGUUACAAUGUCAUAUGCCGCAUUGCCGUAUGCUUGAGUAACCAUCAUCUCUGAAUGACUACCCACCCCACCUAAUCUGUUGGUAGGCCUAAAGGCGUUCUAAAAAGAAAGAAUAAAAUUAGCGCUUCUUAGGAUGCCUACCCACCCUAACCUAUCUUCCAAGAGACAUUGGACUUUUCUAUUGUGAAUUUACGAUCUAGACAAAUAAAACUAGGCUUCCUAAUUACACUAAAAAAUCGCGUUAAACAUAUUGGACAACAUGUAGCACACAUUGGUCUCAAAAAAGCCUCUUGAUUAAUUAGGAUUGAUUAGGUGGUAGACGUGUCCAAAUAAACAAUUAUCUAUUUUAGUGUAAUUAACCUAUAGACAUGCUACUACUUGGCAAAAGACAUUAAAACAUUUUAAAGUGUUAGAAUGUUUUAACAAGAGCUUGAGGAAUAAAAUCUCUAAGUGAAGGUUAACGUGUUGGAAAUUCACAUAAUUUCUAGAUGAAAAGAAAUCAAAGACAUGUCAAUGCCUAAUUACAGGUACUAAUCUUAACUUUGGUUUCUAAAAAAAAAAUUAAAGUUUCCAAUGUUGAAAACGUUAUUUAACUUGCCAGAUAUUGAUAAAAUAUUGCUGAAAUUAGGUUAAUUGCUGAAAGUAGUUUUUAGCUUGCUGAAUUUGUUUUAAAAGCUGAAAAAACUAAGUUUUGAUUGCUGGAACUUGUUUUAAGAGGCUGGAAUUUAUAAUUUAAUUUCUAAUAAAAUGAUUUCAAAUAUGUUGAAUCUGAUUUCUUUUUUUCUUAUUUGUUGAAUACUGGGGUGAGGUGAUUAGGCGGGACAUGGAACAGUUACAGCUCACCGAGGACAUGACCCUAGAUAGGAAGGUCUGGAAGAUGCGAAUUACGGCAGAGGAUUAGGGCCAGUUCGGGUCGCUAGGGUAGGGAAUUAAUUGGGGGGGGUUGUAUUCCUGUUAUGAUCCCGUAUUCAGUGUUCCGUGUUCCGUGUUCCAUGUUUAUUACGAAUCUGUGUGCUUUCCUCUGCUUUAUAUUCCUGCAUUACUGCUUUACUCUGUUUUAUAUUCCUUAUGGGAGCCGUAUGUAUGUUAUGUCAUCUGCUUCUGUGCUUUACUAUGUGUUUGUGUGAUAUCUCGUGACUUGAGCCGGGGGUCUUUCAGAAACAGCCUUUCUACUUCAUCAGAGGUAGAGGUAUGGACUGCGUACAUCUUACCCCCCAGACCCCACUAAGUGGGAAUACACUGGGUUUGUUGUUGUUAUUUGUUGAAUACUGAAACCUGAUGUUUUAUUACCGUAAAUUAAAGUGCAGAAAACAGAUUGAAAUUUGUCUUAAAUGCAAAAAAUAUGAUUUUUUAGUGCAGGAUUUUUUUAAUACGCUGGAACUGAUUUUGUUGCUAUAUUCAAGAACUAAGCUAGGUUUUUGAAUGUAAUUGAUGAACCAUUGUUGAAAAAGUUAAACUAAAUGCGAGAAAAAUAGGUUGAACACUCGUUAAACACAUUGCCAGUUAAUUAACAGCUUGAAAUCGGUUAGUGAAUAAUCCUUAAACAUGUUCUCUAGGUGUCCAAAAUAAAUUAAUUAUGAAGCCUAUAUUAUGUUUGUCUAAACGAUUCACGUAGCACAAAACACAUAAACCCUGCCCCCUAAACAGUCCCCAUUUUUAUUAUUGCAUCAAUGAGGUUUAGAAAAUUUAUUACAGCACGAUGAAUUAAAAAAGAACUAAACUAGUAAGGAAAUGAGUAGCCCAUUUUUCCACCAAAUCCCAAAACUAUCUAUUUAUACUUGUUAGAUACAAUGAAAUAGCAAAACAAGCACAAAAAGAAAAUGACGUAACAAAGAUAUAGCACACAAAAACACCGAAUAAUUUCUAUAGGCAUGUUUUCUAGCAUCAUCGUAUUAAAAUUGCAUGGAUAGGAACUUAUCAGUUGAUGAUAAAUAACAAUAAUAAGAAAAUCAAGUAGCACAAAGUCUAAGCACGAAUUACCACAAAAAAUAAGAUCGAUUCUCCCAAAGUGAGUAUGAAUCAAAAACAAUAAAGUACAAAUUUUUUGUUUGAGAGCAAUGCUUAAAGCUUUUCGUAUGGAGAAUAUAGAGUGUAAGUUGUCCUAAUAGGAAAAAAGGAUUGCCCCUUUUAUAGUAAAAGACUUGUGAGAAGUCUAAAAAAUAAAAGGAAGAAAGAAUAUUUAGUCAAUCAAUUUAAGAAUUAUUUUUCGUAAAUUCAUGCGCUGUAUCACAAAUUAUGUUAAGACUAUCCAAAAUUAGCCUAACACACAAAGUUGUUCAAUUUUAGAAAAGGCAAGAAAAUAAAUCAAGGGAAUAGAAUGAUAAGGAAAAAAUAUUCCGAGCCACAGACUAAAUAUGGAUCAAAAAUUUAUCAUGUAAUUAAAAUACAACAGCAAUCAUAUAUAUUUUUUUCAUAAAGAAAAAUUUGCUCAAUCAAUUAUUCCAAAUUUACCAUAAAUAAAUGAGCAAUUAAACGAAGAAAUCAGUCCACAUUUAAAUAGGUAGAAAAAUCAACAAAAGACGCAACAAAUUAUCCCUAAAUAUAAUUAAUUCAUAAGAAAAUCUCUACUUACCCAAAAUCUUUUCAAAACCCAGCAACUUGUCCAAACCCAUACCAAGAUAAUUCACACGCAUAUAGGAAAAAAUGGUCAUAAUUCGAGUUCAGGAAGAUAAAUAAUAUACAAAUCAGAUUUACUAAAUUCCUAACUAGUUUUUGAGAAAAUAUUGUAAUUAAAAGCAUAAUAAUCAGUCUACAAAAAUUUGGGGUUUUCACAUACGUCAGUCUACAUGCAUAAACAAAUAUGCAAUUGCAGUAAACAUAGAAAAAUUCAAAGUAGAGCAUCACAAAUUAUAAAUAUAAGAAUCUGAUUUUGAGCAAUUUGAAAAUAAGACAAACAAGGCAUAUAAUUUAAGAUAUAAAAAAAUUAAACCCGGUGAUAAUCAUAAUUUUCUGGAGAAAUUUGGGUCAACGGUGCAGCAGAGAGGCGCUUCAUGGUUGUUUUGGUAGCUGGUUUAUUGUUUUUAUUGGUUGGAGCCAUCGAAAUACCAAAAAAAUAGAUAGAGAGAGGCCAGCGGCGGCUGUUGGCAGUUGAUAUGGUUGGUAGCGUCAAAUGAAGUGGGUUCCGUUGUCUGGAGCGGGAGCUGGAUGAUAUUGUUGUGCUUUCACCGAUGCUUCACUGCCAGAGAAGGGAAUGGAGAAAGGAGGUGGUGCCUGGUGGAGGCUUGCUAAUAUGAUUAGUGGCUAGUUGGGGGAGAUGCAGCGACACUGGCAGCUCCGUCGAAUGUUGUGGUCGUUGGCUGUUGUUGUUUCGAUGGUGUCUGGUAGGAGCGGAGAGAAAAGAGUGGCUCCGAAGUUAUUGUUGUCCACAGAUGACGGUCAGUCACUUGGGGAGGGAGGGAGAGAGAGAGAAAAGAUGUGAGAGAAAAAGAAACAUGGUGUUGCUGCUGAAAAUUAAAAAUGGGG
Molecule: long non-coding RNA, 25398 nt
Filed under: Capsicum annuum
Lineage: Eukaryota; Viridiplantae; Streptophyta; Magnoliopsida; Solanales; Solanaceae
Description: long non-coding RNA (CANN_LNC004690)
Source: RNAcentral